ACGAGGCACUACGGUGCUGAAGCAACAAAUGCCCUGCUUCCAGGAAAAGCCUCUAAGCAUCAGGUAACAUCAAAUCGUACCCCAAACCGACACAGGUGGUCAGGUAGAGAAUACCAAGGCGCUUGAGAGAACUCGGGUGAAGGAACUAGGCAAAAUGGUGCCGUAACUUCGGGAGAAGGCACGCUGACACGUAGGUGAAGUGAUUUACUCAUGGAGCUGAAGUCAGUCGAAGAUACCAGCUGGCUGCAACUGUUUAUUAAAAACACAGCACUGUGCAAACACGAAAGUGGACGUAUACGGUGUGACGCCUGCCCGGUGCCGGAAGGUUAAUUGAUGGGGUCAGCGCAAGCGAAGCUCCUGAUCGAAGCCCCGGUAAACGGCGGCCGUAACUAUAACGGUCCUAAGGUAGCGAAAUUCCUUGUCGGGUAAGUUCCGACCUGCACGAAUGGCGUAAUGAUGGCCAGGCUGUCUCCACCCGAGACUCAGUGAAAUUGAACUCGCUGUGAAGAUGCAGUGUACCCGCGGCAAGACGGAAAGACCCCGUGAACCUUUACUAUAGCUUGACACUGAACAUUGAGCCUUGAUGUGUAGGAUAGGUGGGAGGCUUUGAAGUGUGGACGCCAGUCUGCAUGGAGCCGGCCUUGAAAUACCACCCUUUAAUGUUUGAUGUUCUAACGUGGACCCGUGAUCCGGGUUGCGGACAGUGUCUGGUGGGUAGUUUGACUGGGGCGGUCUCCUCCUAAAGAGUAACGGAGGAGCACGAAGGUUGGCUAAUCCUGGUCGGACAUCAGGAGGUUAGUGCAAUGGCAUAAGCCAGCUUGACUGCGAGCGUGACGGCGCGAGCAGGUGCGAAAGCAGGUCAUAGUGAUCCGGUGGUUCUGAAUGGAAGGGCCAUCGCUCAACGGAUAAAAGGUACUCCGGGGAUAACAGGCUGAUACCGCCCAAGAGUUCAUAUCGACGGCGGUGUUUGGCACCUCGAUGUCGGCUCAUCACAUCCUGGGGCUGAAGUAGGUCCCAAGGGUAUGGCUGUUCGCCAUUUAAAGUGGUACGCGAGCUGGGUUUAGAACGUCGUGAGACAGUUCGGUCCCUAUCUGCCGUGGGCGCUGGAGAACUGAGGGGGGCUGCUCCUAGUACGAGAGGACCGGAGUGGACGCAUCACUGGUGUUCGGGUUGUCAUGCCAAUGGCACUGCCCGGUAGCUAAAUGCGGAAGAGAUAAGUGCUGAAAGCAUCUAAGCACGAAACUUGCCCCGAGAUGAGUUCUCCCUGAGACUUUAGGUCUCCUGAAGGAACGUUGAAGACGACGACGUUGAUAGGCCGGGUGUGUAAGCGCAGCGAUGCGUUGAGCUAACCGGUACUAAUGAACCGUGAGGCUUAACC
Molecule: ribosomal RNA, 1378 nt
Filed under: Salmonella enterica subsp. enterica serovar Javiana
Lineage: Bacteria; Pseudomonadati; Pseudomonadota; Gammaproteobacteria; Enterobacterales; Enterobacteriaceae
Description: bacterial LSU rRNA
Rfam family: Bacterial large subunit ribosomal RNA
Source: RNAcentral